This 461-nucleotide long non-coding RNA is filed under the name Mytilus galloprovincialis (Mediterranean mussel). Lineage: Eukaryota; Metazoa; Mollusca; Bivalvia; Mytilida; Mytilidae. The record is from RNAcentral.
AACUCGGUUGUGUCGAAAUCUGCGAUGAGUCGAAGUAAUUUCUCGGUCCCCGUAAAAUUCCCGUUUGAUCAAUGCAUAAUUACCUCUGAAGAGUCGAACUUGGUUGAUUCAAAUACUCGGUUAAGUCGAGUAAAUUUUAUAGUCCCGUCGAAGUAAAAUAAUGUAAAUUGACCCCGAUGUCUCGAACUUCGAAAGUAAGAAUUUUUGAAAGAUGCACCCCUAAUCAUAAAAAUUCAAAUCGGAUGUAUUUCUUAUGUCAACUAAUCAUUUUCAAAAGAGAUUAAAGCUGAAUAAACAUACUUGUUUGUAUAACAGUUAAAAUGACAUGUUUAUAGUGACCGCUAAUUAACACCUUUGUUGAUCGUUCAAGGGGAAUGUUAGUGUGUUGAACAUUUUUUAACUGAGAUAAAACGAAACAAAUUUAAUUGACCCAAGCCGAGAUAAAAUGAAUCGUUAGAUUU